GGGCAGGCGUCACACCGUAUACGUCCACUUUCGUGUUUGCACAGUGCUGUGUUUUUAAUAAACAGUUGCAGCCAGCUGGUAUCUUCGACUGACUUCAGCUCCAUGAGUAAAUCACUUCACCUACGUGUCAGCGUGCCUUCUCCCGAAGUUACGGCACCAUUUUGCCUAGUUCCUUCACCCGAGUUCUCUCAAGCGCCUUGGUAUUCUCUACCUGACCACCUGUGUCGGUUUGGGGUACGAUUUGAUGUUACCUGAUGCUUAGAGGCUUUUCCUGGAAGCAGGGCAUUUGUUGCUUCAGCACCGUAGUGCCUCGUCGUCACGCCUCAGUGUUAAAGUGAACCGGAUUUACCUGGAACACACACCUACACGCUUAAACCGGGACAACCGUCGCCCGGCCAACAUAGCCUUCUCCGUCCCCCCNNNNNNNNNNNNNNNNNNNNCCCCCCUUCGCAGUAACACCAAGUACGGGAAUAUUAACCCGUUUCCCAUCGACUACGCCUUUCGGCCUCGCCUUAGGGGUCGACUCACCCUGCCCCGAUUAACGUUGGACAGGAACCCUUGGUCUUCCGGCGAGCGGGCUUUUCACCCGCUUUAUCGUUACUUAUGUCAGCAUUCGCACUUCUGAUACCUCCAGCAACCCUCACAGGCCACCUUCACAGGCUUACAGAACGCUCCCCUACCCAACAACACCUGAGUGUCGCUGCCGCAGCUUCGGUGCAUGGUUUAGCCCCGUUACAUCUUCCGCGCAGGCCGACUCGACCAGUGAGCUAUUACGCUUUCUUUAAAUGAUGGCUGCUUCUAAGCCAACAUCCUGGCUGUCUGGGCCUUCCCACAUCGUUUCCCACUUAACCAUGACUUUGGGACCUUAGCUGGCGGUCUGGGUUGUUUCCCUCUUCACGACGGACGUUAGCACCCGCCGUGUGUCUCCCGUGAUAACAUUCUCCGGUAUUCGCAGUUUGCAUCGGGUUGGUAAGCCGGGAUGGCCCCCUAGCCGAAACAGUGCUCUACCCCCGGAGAUGAAUUCACGAGGCGCUACCUAAAUAGCUUUCGGGGAGAACCAGCUAUCUCCCGGUUUGAUUGGCCUUUCACCCCCAGCCACAGGUCAUCCGCUAAUUUUUCAACAUUAGUCGGUUCGGUCCUCCAGUUAGUGUUACCCAACCUUCAACCUGCCCAUGGCUAGAUCACCGGGUUUCGGGUCUAUACCCUGCAACUUAACGCCCGGUUAAGACUCGGUUUCCCUCCGGCUCCCCUAUACGGUUAACCUUGCUACAGAAUAUAAGUCGCUGACCCAUUAUACAAAAGGUACGCAGUCACACAGGUAAACCUGUGCUCCCACUGCUUGUACGUACACGGUUUCAGGUUCUUUUUCACUCCCCUCGCCGGGGUUCUUUUCGCCUUUCCCUCACGGUACUGGUUCACUAUCGGUCAGUCAGGAGUAUUUAGCCUUGGAGGAUGGUCCCCCCAUAUUCAGACAGGAUACCACGUGUCCCGCCCUACUCAUCGAGCUCACAGCACAUGCGCUUUUGUGUACGGGGCUGUCACCCUGUAUCGCGCGCCUUUCCAGACGCUUCCACUAACACACAUGCUGAUUCAGGCUCUGGGCUCCUCCCCGUUCGCUCGCCGCUACUGGGGGAAUCUCGGUUGAUUUCUUUUCCUCGGGGUACUUAGAUGUUUCAGUUCCCCCGGUUCGCCUCAUUAACCUAUGGAUUCAGUUAAUGAUAGUGUGACGAAUCACACUGGGUUUCCCCAUUCGGAAAUCGCCGGUUAUAACGGUUCAUAUCACCUUACCGGCGCUUAUCGCAGAUUAGCACGUCCUUCAUCGCCUCUGACUGCCAGGGCAUCCACCGUGUACGCUUAGUCGCUUAACCUCACAACCCGAAGAUGUUUCUUACGAUUCAUCAUCGUGUUGCGAAAAUUUGAGAGACUCACGAACAACUUUCGUUGUUCUGUGUUUCAAUUUUCAGCUUGAUCCAGAUUUUUAAAGAGCAAA
RNAcentral lists this ribosomal RNA (1990 nucleotides) under Salmonella enterica subsp. enterica serovar Paratyphi A. RNAcentral's name for it is "23S ribosomal RNA". The record is from RNAcentral. Lineage: Bacteria; Pseudomonadati; Pseudomonadota; Gammaproteobacteria; Enterobacterales; Enterobacteriaceae.